This 253-nucleotide ribosomal RNA is filed under the name uncultured bacterium. RNAcentral describes it as "partial 16S ribosomal RNA". It matches the Rfam family "Bacterial small subunit ribosomal RNA", at positions 524 to 776 of the family's 1533-position model. The record is from RNAcentral.
UACGUAGGGCGCAAGCGUUGUCCGGAAUUAUUGGGCGUAAAGAGCUCGUAGGCGGUUUGUCGCGUCUGUCGUGAAAGCUUGGGGCUUAACCCCAAGUCUGCGGUGGAUACGGGCAGACUUGAGGCAGGUAGGGGAGAACGGAAUUCCCGGUGUAGCGGUGAAAUGCGCAGAUAUCGGGAGGAACACCGGUGGCGAAGGCGGGUCUCUGGGCCGAUACUGACGCUGAGGAGCGAAAGCGUGGGGAGCGAACAGG